Molecule: long non-coding RNA, 692 nt
Filed under: Sus scrofa (pig)
Lineage: Eukaryota; Metazoa; Chordata; Mammalia; Artiodactyla; Suidae
Description: lncRNA (ENSSSCG00070000453.1)
Source: RNAcentral
GACUCUGUCCUCAUUGUAGAGCGGAGGUGUGGACUCCAGGCCCGGACUGGAGAAGGUCGAGGGGGAUCCUGACCCAGAGCAUGCAAGAAGGCAGGUUACACAGGAGCAAGUGGAGGAAAGCAGACCUCAGUGCUCUGCCAUCUGUGAAGCUCAGCCUAAGGGUGACCUUCAGGAGCCCCCUCACUGUGACCAGGAGUGGGAAGCCCUGGGCCUCUCCUUCCUGUUCAGGAGGCAGUGGAGCUGAGCCUGUGUUGCAGCUGCUCCCUCAGGUGGUCAUUACAAAUGGUGGAGUCCUCCAGGUGCUGGCUAAGGUUCCGGAUUUCACCAAGAUGCUCCUGUGGCAGGAGCCUGAACUGAGUCCACACACUGAACUCACAGACCUGCAGGAGGAGAUGGAAGAAAGAAAAUCAGCAGGUUUUGAGGAUGAGAAGAACCCAAGUAAUGGCAGAGGAGGUGCUGUGCAAGAGAGCUGCAUGGCCUUUCCUGGCUCCAUGGCCCUGGUUCCAGCCAGAUUCGGGGCUCUCAGGGUGCAGAUGACACCCGGACUCCAUGUUGCCUUAAAGCAGUCCACACUGCCCAGGUCUCCAGAGAAAACCGCAAAGAUCUGUAACUCCGACUAUGUCUUGGGGAAGUGGAGAAAUAAUGAGAUUGCUGCAGUAGCAUCCAGGACUGUCAGUGGAAGUGGGGAAUGA